AUUGAACGCUGGCGGCAUGCCUUACACAUGCAAGUCGAACGGCAGCACGGGUGCUUGCACCUGGUGGCGAGUGGCGAACGGGUGAGUAAUACAUCGGAACAUGUCCUGUAGUGGGGGAUAGCCCGGCGAAAGCCGGAUUAAUACCGCAUACGAUCUACGGAUGAAAGCGGGGGACCUUCGGGCCUCGCGCUAUAGGGGUGGCCGAUGGCUGAUUAGCUAGUUGGUGGGGUAAAGGCCUACCAAGGCGACGAUCAGUAGCUGGUCUGAGAGGACGACCAGCCACACUGGGACUGAGACACGGCCCAGACUCCUACGGGAGGCAGCAGUGGGGAAUUUUGGACAAUGGGCGAAAGCCUGAUCCAGCAAUGCCGCGUGUGUGAAGAAGGUCUUCGGGUUGUAAAGCACUUUUGUCCGGAAAGAAAUCCUUGGCCCUAAUACGGUCGGGGGAUGACGGUACCGGAAGAAUAAGCACCGGCUAACUACGUG
This 486-nucleotide ribosomal RNA is filed under the name uncultured bacterium. RNAcentral's name for it is "partial 16S ribosomal RNA". It matches the Rfam family "Bacterial small subunit ribosomal RNA", at positions 30 to 507 of the family's 1533-position model. The record is from RNAcentral.